RNAcentral lists this ribosomal RNA (429 nucleotides) under Chloroflexota bacterium. RNAcentral describes it as "Chloroflexi bacterium partial 16S ribosomal RNA". It matches the Rfam family "Bacterial small subunit ribosomal RNA", at positions 355 to 776 of the family's 1533-position model. Lineage: Bacteria; Bacillati; Chloroflexota. The record is from RNAcentral.
UGGGGAAUAUUGCACAAUGGGCGCAAGCCUGAUGCAGCCAUGCCGCGUGUGUGAAGAAGGCCUUCGGGUUGUAAAGCACUUUCAGCGGGGAGGAAGGCGUUAAGGUUAAUAACCUUGGCGAUUGACGUUACCCGCAGAAGAAGCACCGGCUAACUCCGUGCCAGCAGCCGAGGUAAUACGGAGGGUGCAAGCGUUAAUCGGAAUUACUGGGCGUAAAGCGCACGCAGGCGGUGUGUCAAGUCGGAUGUGAAAUCCCCGGGCUCAACCUGGGAACUGCAUUCGAAACUGGCAGGCUAGAGUCUUGUAGAGGGGGGUAGAAUUCCAGGUGUAGCGGUGAAAUGCGUAGAGAUCUGGAGGAAUACCGGUGGCGAAGGCGGCCCCCUGGACAAAGACUGACGCUCAGGUGCGAAAGCGUGGGGAGCAAACAGG